Molecule: ribosomal RNA, 331 nt
Filed under: uncultured eukaryote
Lineage: Eukaryota
Description: partial 18S ribosomal RNA
Rfam family: Eukaryotic small subunit ribosomal RNA
Source: RNAcentral
CCCUUAGAUGUUCUGGGCCGCACGCGCGAUACACUGUUCGACGCAGCGAGUCUUAACCUUGACCGAAAGGUUUGGGUAAUCUUCAGCAAAGUCGAACGUGAUGGGGAUCGAUCAUUGCAAUUAUUGAUCGUGAACGAGGAAUUCCUAGUAAGUGCAAGUCACCAGCUUGCGCUGAUUACGUCCCUGCCCUUUGUACACACCGCCCGUCGCUACUACCGAUUGAAUGGUUUAGUGAGAUCUCUGGAUUGACGCUGGCUAGGGGGCGACCCUUGGCCAGACUGUUGAGAAACUGCUCAAACUUGAUCAUUUAGAGGAAGUAAAAGUCGUAACA